Molecule: unclassified non-coding RNA, 272 nt
Filed under: uncultured fungus
Lineage: Eukaryota; Fungi
Description: partial contains 5.8S ribosomal RNA, internal transcribed spacer 2, and large subunit ribosomal RNA
Rfam family: 5.8S ribosomal RNA (bases 1-52)
Source: RNAcentral
AACGCACAUUGCGCCCCCUGGUAUUCCGGGGGGCAUGCCUGUCCGAGCGUCAUUGCUGCCCUCAAGCACGGCUUGUGUGUUGGGCCCCCGUCCCCCCCCAAGGGGACGGGCCCGAAAGGCAGCGGCGGCACCGUGUCCGGUCCUCGAGCGUAUGGGAAGCAACUUUUUUUGUCACCCGCUCCUGUAGGUCCGGCCGGCGGCCUGCCCAACCCCAACCUUUUUACUUUAACCAGGUUGACCUCGGAUCAGGUAGGGAUACCCGCUGAACUUAA